Transfer RNA from Spizellomyces punctatus DAOM BR117, 71 nucleotides. It matches the Rfam family "tRNA". Rfam says of the family: Transfer RNA (tRNA) molecules are approximately 80 nucleotides in length. Their secondary structure includes four short double-helical elements and three loops (D, anti-codon, and T loops). The record is from Rfam. Lineage: Eukaryota; Fungi; Chytridiomycota; Chytridiomycetes; Spizellomycetales; Spizellomycetaceae.
GCGCUGAUGGUGUAGUGGCAACAUGUGAGCUUCCCAAGCUUACGCCCGGGGUUCGAUUCCCCGUCAGCGCA